CCUACGGGGGGCUGCAGUGGGGAAUUUUGGACAAUGGGCGAAAGCCUGAUCCAGCCAUUCCGCGUGCAGGAUGAAGGCCCUCGGGUUGUAAACUGCUUUUGUACAGAACGAAAAAGCUCCGGCUAAUACCUGGAGUCCAUGACGGUACUGUAAGAAUAAGCACCGGCUAACUACGUGCCAGCAGCCGCGGUAAUACGUAGGGUGCAAGCGUUAAUCGGAAUUACUGGGCGUAAAGCGUGCGCAGGCGGUUUUGUAAGACAGAGGUGAAAUCCCCGGGCUCAACCUGGGAACUGCCUUUGUGACUGCAAGGCUGGAGUGCGGCAGAGGGGGAUGGAAUUCCGCGUGUAGCAGUGAAAUGCGUAGAUAUGCGGAGGAACACCGAUGGCGAAGGCAAUCCCCUGGGCCUGCACUGACGCUCAUGCACGAAAGCGUGGGGAGCAAACAGGAUUAGAUACCCCAGUAGUC
Molecule: ribosomal RNA, 465 nt
Filed under: uncultured Comamonadaceae bacterium
Lineage: Bacteria; Pseudomonadati; Pseudomonadota; Betaproteobacteria; Burkholderiales; Comamonadaceae
Description: bacterial SSU rRNA
Rfam family: Bacterial small subunit ribosomal RNA
Source: RNAcentral